UACAGAGGGGGCAAGCGUUAAUCGGAAUUACUGGGCGUAAAGCGUGCGCAGGCGGUUAUGUAAGGCAGAUGUGAAAUUCCCGGGCUCAACCUGGGAACUGCAUUUGUGACUGCAUAGCUAGAGUACGGUAGAGGGGGAUGGAAUUCCGCGUGUAGCAGUGAAAUGCGUAGAUAUGCGGAGGAACACCGAUGGCGAAGGCAAUCCCCUGGACCUGUACUGACGCUCAGGCACGAAAGCGUGGGGAGCAAACAGG
This 253-nucleotide ribosomal RNA is filed under the name uncultured bacterium. RNAcentral's name for it is "partial 16S ribosomal RNA". It matches the Rfam family "Bacterial small subunit ribosomal RNA", at positions 524 to 776 of the family's 1533-position model. The record is from RNAcentral.